RNAcentral lists this transfer RNA (71 nucleotides) under Anaerolineales bacterium HSG24. RNAcentral describes it as "tRNA-Asn". It matches the Rfam family "tRNA". From Rfam's summary of the family: Transfer RNA (tRNA) molecules are approximately 80 nucleotides in length. Their secondary structure includes four short double-helical elements and three loops (D, anti-codon, and T loops). Further hydrogen bonds mediate the characteristic L-shaped molecular structure. tRNAs have two regions of fundamental functional importance: the anti-codon, which is responsible for specific mRNA codon recognition, and the 3' end, to which the tRNAs corresponding amino acid is attached (by aminoacyl-tRNA synthetases). tRNAs cope with the degeneracy of the genetic code in two manners: having more than one tRNA (with a specific anti-codon) for a particular amino acid; and 'wobble' base-pairing, i.e. permitting non-standard base-pairing at the 3rd anti-codon position. The record is from RNAcentral. Lineage: Bacteria; Bacillati; Chloroflexota; Anaerolineae; Anaerolineales. RNAcentral also lists the same sequence under 1 other name.
AGGGAAGUGGCGUAACGGUAGCGUAUCUGGCUGUUAAUCAGAAGGUGUGAGUUCGACCCUCACCUUCCCUG